UAAGACCUUGGUUCAAAUGUUGCUGUUUCA
This 30-nucleotide non-coding RNA is filed under the name Rattus norvegicus (Norway rat). The record is from RNAcentral. Lineage: Eukaryota; Metazoa; Chordata; Mammalia; Rodentia; Muridae.